UGCCAGACUCCUACGGGAGGCAGCAGUGGGCGAUAUUGCACAAUGGGGGAAACCCUGAUGCAGCGACGCCGCGUGAGUGAAGAAGUAUUUCGGUAUGUAAAGCUCUAUCAGCAGGGAAGAAAAUGACAGUACCUGACCAAGAAGCCCCGGCUAACUACGUGCCAGCAGCCGCGGUAAUACGUAGGGGGCAAGCGUUAUCCGGAUUUACUGGGUGUAAAGGGAGCGUAGACGGUUAUGUAAGUCUGGAGUGAAAGCCCGGGGCCCAACCCCGGGACUGCAUUGGAAACUGUUGAACUGGAGUACAGGAGAGGUAAGCGGAAUUCCUAGUGUAGCGGUGAAAUGCGUAGAUAUUAGGAGGAACACCAGUGGCGAAGGCGGCUUACUGGACUGUAACUGGCGUUGAGGCUCGAAAGCGUGGGGAGCAAACAGGAUUAGAUACCCCGGUAC
This 447-nucleotide ribosomal RNA is filed under the name uncultured bacterium. RNAcentral's name for it is "bacterial SSU rRNA". It matches the Rfam family "Bacterial small subunit ribosomal RNA", at positions 329 to 793 of the family's 1533-position model. The record is from RNAcentral.